GGGGGGGGGGGAGAGGGAAGGAACUCUGCCUCUCACUGCAGCAGGGAAACCCCAUGUUUUCUGCAAAAUGGUGUCUUCUAAUUGGACGCAAGGGAACUAUGGAAGCUUCUUUCUUGGGUGCAGCAAGGAAAAAUCUUCAGCCUUUCAGAGUCUUUUUUUCUCUUCGGCUAUUCAGAGUUGACAGGAGAUGACCUUUUCUCGUAGGUAACCUCAGAGGCUGGAAAUGGAUGCAAAGGAGGAGAAGGGUUAGGUAGUGUAGUGUUGUAUUGCCAAAGCAUAAUUCUUUUUUUUGUUGAAAUCGUGCAAAUUUUGUGCAGACCGAAUUAUACUAAGCCUUCUAUAUAUGCAUGUCUUUUGCGUUUCAGCAACAAAUGCUAUAGCUUAACAUGUGCUUUUGAAGAAUGGGAGGGCGAUGCACAAAGCAAUUACGACCCUGUCUUUUCACUUUUGCUUAUGGUUACAAGCCAAGAUUUGAAUUUUCCAACCUUAGAUUUGGAGUUUAUUUCCUCUUCCAUGUUUAGAGCUAAGAAGGUUUGCGUGCAUUUUGCAUUCUGUACACCAACUUUUUCCCUGUUUGCUUCCUGCUAUUUAUACUCAUUUAAUACCUUUUUCCUGCACCUCGUUAUCCCUGUUUAUAUUCUGAUGUGUUCGCCCUCCUUCCUCUCUACUGCAUACAAUACAUCCGUGCCAUCAGUUCUUCGCAUACUCUACUGUUACUCCGUGAUGCUAGUAGUGCAUUUAGAGUUGAUUUCUGAGAGGUCAUUCUGCUUGUUACCUUGUGUUGAACGAAUUUACCAUGGCUCUUAUACUUAACGUGGCCAUUAUCCUCCGCUGGCUUGUCUGAAGAUUUUGUUACAGCUGGUCUAGAAUAUUGAAGAUCGAAGUUGUGGAACAACCAUGAAAUAAGUCUACAAUCGCGCCUUCUGAGGUUCAUUUUGUACAUUACCCACAACCAAAUAACUUAUGGCAGUGAAUACAUCUGUACCCAUGUCCUGUACUUCGCAAUUAUCUCGUCACAACGUUCUGGAAGCGGCUGGUUUGAAACUCUUCUUAACAGCCACAUGAAUGUUUGUUUGAAAGGUGAAAUUUCCUCUUCAAAAGGACAUCUAUAAUAAAGACAUUGGAUAAAGUGUACAGUUUUGUUUGAAAUAGUAGUGCUUCCAAGAAUGAAUGCUUAAUCAGGUGAGAAAAAGUGUGUGCAAUCCAUCAACUUUUGUGUUUUCUUAA
Oryza brachyantha (malo sina) is the source of this 1227-nucleotide long non-coding RNA. RefSeq lists it as uncharacterized. The transcript has 4 exons. Lineage: Eukaryota; Viridiplantae; Streptophyta; Magnoliopsida; Poales; Poaceae. The record is from RefSeq and is a predicted model, not a curated record.